Long non-coding RNA from Nematolebias whitei (Rio pearlfish), 205 nucleotides. RefSeq lists it as uncharacterized. NCBI's taxonomy places the organism in Eukaryota, Metazoa, Chordata, Actinopteri, Cyprinodontiformes, Rivulidae. The record is from RefSeq and is a predicted model, not a curated record. The transcript has 4 exons.
CUUUAGCAGCUGGAGCCAAACCUCCUAAAUAUGCCCCACAGACAGGCCUCGGAGGAGGUGGAUUCCCAGGAGGAGGAGGACAGGUUUUGCCAGGUGGUUACGGUGCUUAUGGGGGUGGUGCUGGAAGCAAACCUCCAAAGUUUGGAGUUUCAGGAGGAACUGGAGCUGGGUUAGGAUACGGAGCACUGGGAGGAGGAGGAGCAGG